GACGAACGCUGGCGGCGUGCCUAAUACAUGCAAGUCGACCUUAGUGGCGGACGGGUGAGUAACACGUGGGAACCUACCCAUCAGAGGGGGAUAACGUCCGGAAACGGGCGCUAAUACCGCAUACUAUCAGAUGAGCCUAGGUCGGAUUAGCUAGUUGGUGGGGUAAAGGCCUACCAAGGCGACGAUCCGUAACUGGUCUGAGAGGAUGAUCAGUCACACUGGAACUGAGACACGGUCCAGACUCCUACGGGAGGCAGCAGUGGGGAAUUUUGGACAAUGGGCGCAAGCCUGAUCCAGCCAUGCCGCGUGUCUGAAGAAGGCCUUCGGGUUGUAAAGGACUUUUGUCAGGGAAGCGGUACCUGAAGAAUAAGCACCGGCUAACUACGUGCCAGCAGCCGCGGUAAUUC
RNAcentral lists this ribosomal RNA (407 nucleotides) under uncultured bacterium. RNAcentral's name for it is "partial 16S ribosomal RNA". It matches the Rfam family "Bacterial small subunit ribosomal RNA", at positions 28 to 526 of the family's 1533-position model. The record is from RNAcentral.